UUCAGGGCAUCUGGAUAAAUGGUUAGCAUCGUUGUGGUCUGAUCCUUGCGGCCCUCCUGGAGGCUGUGACUUGGGGGUCCACUGGGGGCCUGGGUUUGCAGGAGACAGGAGGGGAAGGGGCUAAAGGGGCAGAAGCACGCGGGGGCUUCACCUGCAGGAGGAGUCGGGUCUUUCACAGCUGCCCGGCCUCCCUCGGAGCCUGAGAGGCCAGCACCCCUUUCCCUCAUGGUGCCGGCUGGACCCUCCAUGCUCUGUGCCUCCUUGUGUGUCAUGUGGCAGCCAUAGUCACCCCCACCCUGUGGCGUAUUUUGAGCUUCUGGGGAGCUCAGCACACACAGCCCCCGUGAAAGCGCCGGCGCCGGCUGCUGGACCCUGCCGUGCUCCAGGCAUCGCCCCUGUCCUCUGAGGCCUCUGGCUCUGCCCAGCAAGAGGGACAGGGUGGGGAAGAAGUGGGUGUGGGGCCUCUGGAAGCCGGGCUGGGCUCAGCAUGGCGAGCUCCUGGUGGAGGCACUGGUGUCCAGGGGCAUCAGCAGCACAGAGAAGGUUCCGGGCUCCAUCUCCUGAACCUGUCUGGAAGAGCCCAGCUGCUCCCAUGGACCUGCGACCUGCCGCCCAGGGCCGGGGGUCUGGUCCUCUUUGCAUCGGCUCGGGGGAGGCCAUCCGCGGCUGGGCGAGGGUCAGCUGCCAUUUGGAUGCCCCGGCAGCCGCGGGGCUCUCGCUUCUGCCAGAGCUGGCAGCGUCCGAGGUGGCAAGGGCUCUGGGGAGCAGCGGGAGACCUGGGGGUGCCGAGUGUUCCGGAAAUAUUGCUGGUUCUUCUGGGGCAGUCCUGGCCCGCUGGGCAGAGCAGAACACGGCCUCUGCUCAGUGACGGGGUGGGGCGCUGGGGUGGCGGAAACAUGAGGCCGCGUGAAGUGGGCAUCAGCUGGGCCCUGGGGUUUGGGCUUGGAGGCCUUCGGAGCAGUGGUCCCCCGGCUCUUGCUGCCCUGUGGUUCAGUUCCUCCUGCUGCCGCGCCUGUGUGCCUUGUGGGUCGGCAGGUCUUGCGAGAGGCCUCAUCUGAGACAGGAAAGCCCCACGCAGGCUUCUGGAAGGCUCCUCCUGGCUCUCAGCCACCCCGUUGGCUGAGUGAGACCGACCCCAGCAGCUUCCUGAGGCGUGGCAAGGCCCCCAGGGACACCUGGCGGCCACACACCUGGGGGACCCCACCAAGGCUGAGACCCAGGUUGGGACUCCCCCACACUGCUGAGGUUUGGGCCUCAUUCCCCGCUGGCCCUCCGUCCACUUGGGAGCUUUCCAGGUGGGGAUGUUCGUAGGGACAGUGGUACGGCACCCAGUUGCCUCCUCCCUGAAAUCUUCAACCCGAACCUCACUCAGCACAGAGAAUUGGGGGCCAGACCACGGUGGACGGAGGCGUCCUGCUGACACAGCCCCUGUCGGGAUGUGGGAAGGGGCGGAGGCACAGCUCCAGCCCCAGCGUGACCGUGCGUGUGGGAAAACCGUCCGGGUACUUGGGGACAGCAGGGACAUUUCCAAUGUGGGUGUAUGAGAGCCACCUCCCCCAUGUGGUGGGCCCUGGUGUGAUGCUGGCAGCUGGGACAGGAGUCCUUCUCUCAGCAGAUGCUGCUGUGCUCCUGGGGCACAGUCUGUGGUUUUCUUUUGUGUGCAUAUCCAUACUUGGGUGUGUGUGCAUGUCCUUGCAUGUGCACAUGUGUGCUUGGGGGUGUGUGCGUGUCCUUGCGGGUGCACAUGCGUGCUUGGGUGUGUGUGCAUGUCCUUGCGUGUGCACGUGUGCUUGGGUGCGUGCAGGUGUGUGUAUUUGCAUGUCUGUGCGUGCAUGUUUGCCCCAGAGCGGAAGGAAAGUGAAUGCAGCCGAAUGAUCACAUCUGCAUGAGGGGUGUUCACUGUUGUGUCUGCUCAUCUUUCUGUGGGAUGAAAUAUUUCAAAAUAAGAAAUUGAGGAGAAAGAGAAAGGAGGGUGCUUGUCUCUCUCCUUGCCUCCUGCUGCUCCUCCCUGUGUUGGAGGCUCCAGGAUGCCUCACCCCAGGUUGACAUCAUUUUUGGCCUGCACAGCCAGCCCCUUUCUUUUCUCUGGGCACUAGCGAGGAGCCUGGGGAGGGGGGACGGGAAUUCCCCCAGAGGCCAGGGCUUGACUGCCCUGCAGGGCCCUCGCUGUCGCUUUUUUCCCUCACGAUGUCUCAUCCCUCAACCUCUGUUCUCCAUCCAAAGGCAUCUCUGUGAAUCCACCUGGCACGGGAGCGGCGCUGAUGCCACAAAUGCGGGCCUGACUGCUGGGCGGAGCUCGCCAGUCAACAGGGCUUGGUGUGGCUGGGGCAGCCCUGAGACCCCAGGCCCUGCCGCUGCGGCUUCCCCUUCCUGGCUCCUCUUCUCUGUGGGACGGAAAGGCUCUCUCCUGGGGAAGGCUCAGAGCUGAGCUGAUGGGUGUUUGAAGUUUCUCCACACACAGGGUCCCCUGGCAUCUCCCUCUGUCAUUUGGUGGCCAAGUGACAUUUCCCAGCAGCCCUGCUGCAGACGCCAUCUGUUCUCGGGGGAGACUCAGGUGGCCUGGGCCCUUCUGGUAGCCGCUUACCCAGCCUGACCCCAGGCUCCAGCGAGGCUGCUCCAGAUCGGGGCUUCUCUGCCCAGGUGAAGGGCGGGUGUGGGAGUUUUCUGUAGAGGCCGCUGUCCCCUGCUACCCCGGCCCCGUGUGGGACCCUGGGUCUGUCUGACAGACAGAGGCUUCCUGAGCCGGGCCCUUGGGAUGACGGGUAGGAAUCUAGGGUGGAUCCACAGGAAUUAGAGAUUUUAUCAGUUUUGUUUUCUAAAUGAAAUUCUACAGCCCCAUAGCAGCGUGAUGCUGAUGGUCCUGUCCCCUAUGGCCCCCAUCCUGGAGGCGCCCUGGUGUGGGCUGUGGGCCUGGGGGUACUUAGCACUGUCCAGUAUGCGGACGUGCCAGCAGCCCACAUUUCCCCCAGUGACCACCAGGCUGUGCCCUGGACAUGGCCGUCUGAGCACGUCGUGUCCUGGGGGCAGGGCCCCGUCUGGUGGUCAGGCUCAGUGCGAGCCCAUCAGGGGUGCUCUGCCCGCCUGGGGAGACAGCGUGGCUUCUGGGGGCUCCUCCAGGGAGGCUCUGGACCAGGCUGCAGAGGAUGCCAACCUGCCACAGGCUGGCCUGGCCGCUCAUGGACAUGGUGGCUCCUGGCCCAGGGUCUCUCCCCUGGGAACCCAGGCGUGCUCGCGGCCCUCUGGAAUGCAGGCGCUGGGGCUGUGGGGGGCCGCCUGGCGCCUGGCAUCUUGUUAUAAAAAGCUCUGGCGCAGGCUGCUCUCAGUGGCUGCAGGAUGGUUGUGGCUUUGGAAGGGCAGCCCCCAGGGGCCUUGGUCAGCCACCUGUGGGCCCCACUGCCGGGCCGUGGUCAGCCCUCACUGGCUGCCCUGCCAUGACGCUGCCGAGGCCAAUGCAGCUCCCGCCAGACUCCUGUGACAAGUCAUGACAGAGCCACAUGCUGGGUGGCUGCAGGGCCCUGUCGCCCACAGCAGUCGAGGUCUCAGGUGUGUCUGGAGGGCAACCCUGGAGACACCUGGGACAGGUGUACCUCUGGCAGGCACACCCAGGCUGUCACCCAGUGUGGGCAUGGUGGGGGUGCUGGAAUGCUGUGCAGGGCAGGAGGCAGCAGCCCGUGGCUGCGUGGGAGACUGCAGGGGAGACGGGACGGGACCAGGAGGGUUGUUCCCAGGGCCUGCCAAGCCAUCCCCAGGUGUUGAGAGUGGGAGGUAGGGGUGGGAGCCGAGAGCCGGCUCCGGGCCACCCCCACUCCCAAUGGCUCUCGGCUGUUCUGUGUGAGAGGGGCGGGGCCGAGUGUGGGUCAGCGCAGUGCUGAGGUGUCCCACGCACUCCAGCACUGGGCUGAAUGCAUUGAAAUCACUGCCCAGGGCUCCGCGAGCUGCAUGGCCCGGCUUUGUCAAUUUCAUUGCUGUUGAUGCCAAUUAGGAGUGACGCUGUCCCUCCCGCAUCCCAGGGUGGGCAGAGGGAGGGGCCGGCUUGUUCCCUGGGGGCAAGCAAGCAUGGAGUCAGCCUGGCCAUGGAGCCGUGGCCAAGAGGGCAGUGGGGGCAGCGGGGGCAGCUGGACUGGGGUUUUUGCCGACGCUCUAAUUUGGCGGCCGUCGCCACCCCUCCUUCCCAUGGAGACCCUGACGUGGCCUGAGCCAGACUCCAGGGACCAUGUGCCCUGCUGGGGAGCAGGGGCUCGGCGUCAGGUCUGGUGCACUGACUGGGAGAGGGGGGUCUCCAGCCCUGGACAGGCCCUGAGUGGGGUGGGGGCCCCCAGCUGCUGUGCCCAGCCCUGCCCCCAGGACCUGGCCUUGGCCCUGCACUGGCCAGGGCCAGGGAGGGAGUGGGCCCAGCUCCCAAGUCUGUGUGACCACCUCGGCUGGGGGCACCGACAGCUCGGGGUGCGGAGGGCCCAGCCCGUGACACCCGCUGUCAGCUGCGCCCUCUGCCUCCAGCCCGUGGACCGGGAGCCUGUGGACCGGGAGCCUGUGGACCGGGAGCCCGUGGACCGGGAGCCAGUGGUGUGCCACCCCGACCUGGAGGAGCGGCUGCAGGCCUGGCCAGCGGAGCUGCCUGAUGAGUUCUUUGAGCUGACGGUGGACGACGUGAGAAGACGCUUGGCCCAGCUCAAGAGUGAGCGGAAGCGCCUGGAAGAAGCCCCCUUGAUGACCAAGGCCUUCAGGGAGGCGCAGAUAAAGGAGAAGCUGGAGCGGUGGCUCUGAGGGUCCUGUUCCCCGACCGCUACGUCCUACAGGGCUUCUUUCGCCCCAGCGAGACAGUGGGGGACUUGCGAGACUUCGUGAGGAGCCACCUGGGGAACCCCGAGCUGUCGUUUUACCUGUUCAUCACCCCUCCAAAAACAGUCCUGGACGACCACACGCGGACCCUCUUUCAGGUGAACCUCUUCCCGACUGCUCUGGUGCACUUUGGAGCCGAGGAGCCGGCAGGUGUCUACCUGGAGCCUGGCCUGCUGGAGCAUGCCAUCUCCCCAUCUGCGGCCGACGUGCUGGUGGCCAGGUAAGUGCCGGUGGGUCUGGGGGCACCUCCCGUGGCGGCACUCACCACUCUGUGUCUUCGCCUCCCCACAGGUACAUGUCCAGGGCUGCCAGGUCCCCUUCCCCAUUGCCAGCCCCUGACCCUGCACCUGAGUCUGAGCCAGCUGCUGAGGACGGGGCGCUGGUCCCCCCAGAGCCCAUCCCAGGGACGGCCCAGCCCGUGAAGAGGAGCCUGGGCAAGGUGCCCAAGUGGCUGAAGCUGCCUGCCAGCAAGAGGUGAGAGCUGCCAGCCCGAGGUGCCCACUCUGCCAGCCACAGGACCACCUCCCCUGCCAGCAGGAAUAAAGACUUGUGCAUCCCUC
Molecule: small RNA, 5399 nt
Filed under: Pongo abelii (Sumatran orangutan)
Lineage: Eukaryota; Metazoa; Chordata; Mammalia; Primates; Hominidae
Description: retained intron
Source: RNAcentral